UUUGCCCAAAUCUUGUUUUUUUUUUAUUAAUUUCUAUUAGGGCUUUAUUUUCCUAUCCGAUUUGCUUUUUGUAAUUAGAGAGUUUGUGUGAGGUAUACGAGUUUAGGGCAAAACUUGGAGUUAUUUGCCGACGAUAAUGGUGGUCUUUUACCAUGUAUUUACUGCUCUUAAAGGUUGAAUCUCUGGGAACAAGUAGAACACGCAUUAUGAUUGAUUAUAGAGAGAGCAUUGCUAGCCGAAUGAUAUGAUUUAUCCCUUGAUAGAGAAAUAUGCUCACAUCAGGUUAAACUACCCAAAAUUUUCUUGCUAUGGUUGCAGAUGACUAAAGCCUCUCCUUCAUUACUUAAAUUGGUAAUGGCAAUGAACUAUAUAUCUUGAUACCUUUUUUAAUUCAUUCGAUCUCUCAACAGACUGUUACCUAUAUAUUUAUGUUUAUCUUUCUUGAAACAAUCAGUGUUGAGUGUGCCUAUAUUGUGUUUACUUUUAUUUAUUUCAUUAUAAGUUGCAGUUAUCCACAUGCUUCAAUUGAUUCUAACAUGCUAGUAGAAAGAGUUCUUUUAUAAUGUAUGUUGUCUUUAUUUUUCU
This is a non-coding RNA of Nicotiana tabacum (common tobacco), 585 nucleotides long. The record is from RefSeq and is a predicted model, not a curated record. NCBI's taxonomy places the organism in Eukaryota, Viridiplantae, Streptophyta, Magnoliopsida, Solanales, Solanaceae.